UGUGGGAUUGCACAGACAACCAGGAUGUUGGCUUAGAAGCAGCCACUCAUUCAAAGAGUGCGUAAUAGCUCACUGGUCGAGUGAUCCUGCGCCGAAGAUUUCCGGGGCUAAAACUUACUACCGAAGCUACGGCAUCAGUAAUGAUGGGUAGGGGAGCUUCCCAUACGGGUUGAAGCAUGACCGUAAGGACAUGGGGACAGUAUGGGAGUGAGAAUGUUGGCAUGAGUAGCGAGAUGUGGGUGGGAAUCCCACAGGCCGUAAACCCAAGGUUUCCAGGGGAAGGUUCGUCCGCCCUGGGUUAGUCGGGACCUAAGCUGAGGCCGAAAGGCGUAGGUGAUGGACAACAGGUUGAUAUUCCUGUACUACCGAUAACCGUUUGAGAGAAGGGAUGACACAGUAGGAUAAGCUAAGCACACUGUUGGUUAUGUGUGCCCAAGCAUUGAGGCAGUCAAAGUAGGCAAAUCCGCUUUGAUAAUGCUGGGAUGUGUUGGGGAGCGAAAUUUAGUAGCGAAGUAGCUGAUUUCACACUGUCAAGAAAAGUCUCUAUCGAGGUUAAAGGUACCCGUACCGCAAACCGACACAGGUG
Molecule: ribosomal RNA, 586 nt
Filed under: Clostridioides difficile
Lineage: Bacteria; Bacillati; Bacillota; Clostridia; Peptostreptococcales; Peptostreptococcaceae
Description: bacterial LSU rRNA
Rfam family: Bacterial large subunit ribosomal RNA
Source: RNAcentral